GACGAACGCUGGCGGCGUGCUUAACACAUGCAAGUCGAACGGACAGGCCCUGCUCUUGCGGGGUGCUUGAGUGGCGAACGGGUGAGUAACACGUGAGUAACCUGUCCCUGACUUUGGGAUAACUUCUGGAAACACGGGCUAAUACCCGAUAGGAGCUCCUGCUGCAUGGUGUGCGUUGGAAAGUUUCGGCGGUUGGGGCUGGACUCGCGGGUUAUCAGCUUGUUGGUGGGGUAGUGGCUUACCAAGGCUUUGACGGGUAGCCGGCCUGAGAGGGUGACCGGCCACAUUGGGACUGAGAUACGGCCCAGACUCCUACGGGAGGCAGCAGUGGGGAAUAUUGCACAAUGGGCGGAAGCCUGAUGCAGCAACGCCGCGUGCGGGAUGACGGCCUUCGGGUUGUAAACCGCUUUCGCCUGUGACGAAGCGUGAGUGACGGUAAUGGGUAAAGAAGCACCGGCUAACUACGUG
RNAcentral lists this ribosomal RNA (468 nucleotides) under uncultured bacterium. RNAcentral's name for it is "partial 16S ribosomal RNA". It matches the Rfam family "Bacterial small subunit ribosomal RNA", at positions 28 to 507 of the family's 1533-position model. The record is from RNAcentral.